Molecule: unclassified non-coding RNA, 222 nt
Filed under: uncultured Phylloporus
Lineage: Eukaryota; Fungi; Basidiomycota; Agaricomycetes; Boletales; Boletaceae
Description: sequence contains ITS1
Source: RNAcentral
UAGAACAACCAACAUCAUAUCAAGGAAAGGAGAAGGUAGAGAGACUGUCGCCGAGUUAGACUCGUGCACGUCCCCUCGCCUUCGACUAUCUGAGAUAUGUAUUGACAUACACCUGUGCACCUUUUGUAGAUUUCUCCGCCUUCGAGAGAAGGAUGGUGGCGAUCUAUGUUUUCAUCAUAUCACACACAUCGUAUGGCCAGAAUGUAACAAACAAUCAUAAUA